UACGGAGGGUGCAAGCGUUAUCCGGAUUUACUGGGUUUAAAGGGUGUGUAGGCGGAUUUUUAAGUCAGAGGUGAAAUCUCCAGGCUCAACCUGGAAACUGCCCCUGAUACUAUUAGUCUUGAAUAUUGAUGAGGUGGGCGGAACGGGUCAUGUAGCGGUGAAAUGCUUAGAGAUGACCCGGAACACCAAUUGCGAAGGCAGCUUACUAUGGUUUGAUUGACACUGAGGCACGAAAGCGUGGGGAUCAAACAGG
This 253-nucleotide ribosomal RNA is filed under the name uncultured prokaryote. Its description in RNAcentral is "partial 16S ribosomal RNA". It matches the Rfam family "Bacterial small subunit ribosomal RNA", at positions 524 to 776 of the family's 1533-position model. The record is from RNAcentral.